RNAcentral lists this ribosomal RNA (2933 nucleotides) under Enterobacter roggenkampii. RNAcentral's name for it is "23S ribosomal RNA". It matches the Rfam family "Bacterial large subunit ribosomal RNA". The record is from RNAcentral. Lineage: Bacteria; Pseudomonadati; Pseudomonadota; Gammaproteobacteria; Enterobacterales; Enterobacteriaceae.
GGGUUGUGAGGUUAAGCGACUAAGCGUACACGGUGGAUGCCCUGGCAGUCAGAGGCGAUGAAGGACGUGCUAAUCUGCGAAAAGCGCCGGCGAGGUGAUAUGAACCUUUGACCCGGCGAUGUCCGAAUGGGGAAACCCAGUGUGAUUCGUCACACUAUCGUUAACUGAAUACAUAGGUUAACGAGGCGAACCGGGGGAACUGAAACAUCUAAGUACCCCGAGGAAAAGAAAUCAACCGAGAUUCCCCCAGUAGCGGCGAGCGAACGGGGAGCAGCCCAGAGUCUGAAUCAGCUUGUGUGUUAGUGGAAGCGUCUGGAAAGUCGCACGGUACAGGGUGACAGUCCCGUACACGAAAGCACACAGGUUGUGAACUCGAAGAGUAGGGCGGGACACGUGGUAUCCUGUCUGAAUAUGGGGGGACCAUCCUCCAAGGCUAAAUACUCCUGACUGACCGAUAGUGAACCAGUACCGUGAGGGAAAGGCGAAAAGAACCCCGGCGAGGGGAGUGAAAAAGAACCUGAAACCGUGUACGUACAAGCAGUGGGAGCACCUUCGUGGUGUGACUGCGUACCUUUUGUAUAAUGGGUCAGCGACUUAUAUUCUGUAGCAAGGUUAACCGUAUAGGGGAGCCGAAGGGAAACCGAGUCUUAACUGGGCGUUAAGUUGCAGGGUAUAGACCCGAAACCCGGUGAUCUAGCCAUGGGCAGGUUGAAGGUUGGGUAACACUAACUGGAGGACCGAACCGACUAAUGUUGAAAAAUUAGCGGAUGACUUGUGGCUGGGGGUGAAAGGCCAAUCAAACCGGGAGAUAGCUGGUUCUCCCCGAAAGCUAUUUAGGUAGCGCCUCGUGAACUCAUCUUCGGGGGUAGAGCACUGUUUCGGCUAGGGGGCCAUCCCGGCUUACCAACCCGAUGCAAACUACGAAUACCGAAGAAUGUUAUCACGGGAGACACACGGCGGGUGCUAACGUCCGUCGUGAAGAGGGAAACAACCCAGACCGCCAGCUAAGGUCCCAAAGUCAUGGUUAAGUGGGAAACGAUGUGGGAAGGCACAGACAGCCAGGAUGUUGGCUUAGAAGCAGCCAUCAUUUAAAGAAAGCGUAAUAGCUCACUGGUCGAGUCGGCCUGCGCGGAAGAUGUAACGGGGCUAAACCAUGCACCGAAGCUGCGGCAGCGACGCUUAUGCGUUGUUGGGUAGGGGAGCGUUCUGUAAGCCGUUGAAGGUGUGCUGUGAGGCAUGCUGGAGGUAUCAGAAGUGCGAAUGCUGACAUAAGUAACGAUAAAGCGGGUGAAAAGCCCGCUCGCCGGAAGACCAAGGGUUCCUGUCCAACGUUAAUCGGGGCAGGGUGAGUCGACCCCUAAGGCGAGGCCGAAAGGCGUAGUCGAUGGGAAACAGGUUAAUAUUCCUGUACUUGGUGUUACUGCGAAGGGGGGACGGAGAAGGCUAUGUUAGCCGGGCGACGGUUGUCCCGGUUUAAGCAUGUAGGCGGAACGAUUAGGUAAAUCCGGUCGUUUUUUAACGCUGAGGUGUGAUGACGAGGCACUACGGUGCUGAAGUAACAAAUGCCCUGCUUCCAGGAAAAGCCUCUAAGCAUCAGGUAACAUUAAAUCGUACCCCAAACCGACACAGGUGGUCAGGUAGAGAAUACCAAGGCGCUUGAGAGAACUCGGGUGAAGGAACUAGGCAAAAUGGUGCCGUAACUUCGGGAGAAGGCACGCUGAUAUGUAGGUGAAGCCCCUGCGGGUGGAGCUGAAAUCAGUCGAAGAUACCAGCUGGCUGCAACUGUUUAUUAAAAACACAGCACUGUGCAAACACGAAAGUGGACGUAUACGGUGUGACGCCUGCCCGGUGCCGGAAGGUUAAUUGAUGGGGUUAGCGGCAACGCGAAGCUCUUGAUCGAAGCCCCGGUAAACGGCGGCCGUAACUAUAACGGUCCUAAGGUAGCGAAAUUCCUUGUCGGGUAAGUUCCGACCUGCACGAAUGGCGUAAUGAUGGCCAGGCUGUCUCCACCCGAGACUCAGUGAAAUUGAACUCGCUGUGAAGAUGCAGUGUACCCGCGGCAAGACGGAAAGACCCCGUGAACCUUUACUAUAGCUUGACACUGAACACUGGUCCUUGAUGUGUAGGAUAGGUGGGAGGCUUUGAAGCGUGGACGCCAGUCUGCGUGGAGCCGUCCUUGAAAUACCACCCUUUAAUGGCUGGUGUUCUAACGUAGACCCGUAAUCCGGGUUGCGGACAGUGUCUGGUGGGUAGUUUGACUGGGGCGGUCUCCUCCCAAAGAGUAACGGAGGAGCACGAAGGUUAGCUAAUCCUGGUCGGACAUCAGGAGGUUAGUGCAAUGGCAUAAGCUAGCUUGACUGCGAGAGUGACGGCUCGAGCAGGUGCGAAAGCAGGUCAUAGUGAUCCGGUGGUUCUGAAUGGAAGGGCCAUCGCUCAACGGAUAAAAGGUACUCCGGGGAUAACAGGCUGAUACCGCCCAAGAGUUCAUAUCGACGGCGGUGUUUGGCACCUCGAUGUCGGCUCAUCACAUCCUGGGGCUGAAGUAGGUCCCAAGGGUAUGGCUGUUCGCCAUUUAAAGUGGUACGCGAGCUGGGUUUAGAACGUCGUGAGACAGUUCGGUCCCUAUCUGCCGUGGGCGCUGGAGAAUUGAGGGGGGCUGCUCCUAGUACGAGAGGACCGGAGUGGACGCAUCACUGGUGUUCGGGUUGUCAUGCCAAUGGCACUGCCCGGUAGCUAAAUGCGGAAAAGAUAAGUGCUGAAAGCAUCUAAGCACGAAACUUGCCCCGAGAUGAGUUCUCCCUGAGACUUUAAGUCUCCUGAAGGAACGUUAAAGACGAUGACGUUGAUAGGUCGGGUGUGUAAGCGCAGCGAUGCGUUGAGCUAACCGAUACUAAUGAACCGUGAGGCUUAACCUUACAACGCCGAAGGUGUUU